This 253-nucleotide ribosomal RNA is filed under the name uncultured bacterium. RNAcentral's name for it is "partial 16S ribosomal RNA". It matches the Rfam family "Bacterial small subunit ribosomal RNA", at positions 524 to 776 of the family's 1533-position model. The record is from RNAcentral.
UACGGGGGGGGCAAGCGUUGUUCGGAAUUACUGGGCGUAAAGGGCUCGUAGGCGGCCGACUAAGUCAGACGUGAAAUCCCUCGGCUCAACCGGGGAACUGCGUCCGAUACUGGAUGGCUUGAAUCCGGGAGAGGGAUGCGGAAUUCCAGGUGUAGCGGUGAAAUGCGUAGAUAUCUGGAGGAACACCGGUGGCGAAGGCGGCAUCCUGGACCGGCAUUGACGCUGAGGAGCGAAAGCCAGGGGAGCAAACGGG